RNAcentral lists this long non-coding RNA (300 nucleotides) under Panax ginseng (ginseng). RNAcentral describes it as "long non-coding RNA (PGIN_LNC011325)". The record is from RNAcentral. Lineage: Eukaryota; Viridiplantae; Streptophyta; Magnoliopsida; Apiales; Araliaceae.
AAAUUACAAAAAAUCCAACAAUGAUUUUCCAUUCUGCUGCUUUAUAUUCUUAAAGUAAACGCUAGACAACUAGCCCAAAGUAUCAUACAUACAAGGAAACGAAAUGAAAAAGAACAACUGAACAAGUGAGGGGGACAUAAUCUGAGCCAAAAUAGAAAAAUCAAAAAGAAAAGAAGAAGAAGAAAUAAUCACCGAAGAAGCACUAUCGAUUGAACUCAUCAACCGAGCAAGUAAAAGAAAUAUUUUGUGAAUUUAGCAACAACAAAAAAAGAGAAGUAUUCUGGGUAAUGUGUAUUGACG